UACGUAGGGUGCAAGCGUUAAUCGGAAUUACUGGGCGUAAAGCGUGCGCAGGCGGUGGAUGUAGAACAGAUGUGAAAUCCCCGGGCUCAACCUGGGAACUGCAUUUGUGACUGCAUCGCUAGAGUACGGCAGAGGGGGAUGGAAUUCCGCGUGUAGCAGUGAAAUGCGUAGAUAUGCGGAGGAACACCGAUGGCGAAGGCAAUCCCCUGGGCCUGUACUGACGCUCAUGCACGAAAGCGUGGGAGCAACAGG
RNAcentral lists this ribosomal RNA (252 nucleotides) under uncultured bacterium. RNAcentral's name for it is "partial 16S ribosomal RNA". It matches the Rfam family "Bacterial small subunit ribosomal RNA", at positions 524 to 776 of the family's 1533-position model. The record is from RNAcentral.